This 253-nucleotide ribosomal RNA is filed under the name uncultured bacterium. Its description in RNAcentral is "partial 16S ribosomal RNA". It matches the Rfam family "Bacterial small subunit ribosomal RNA", at positions 524 to 776 of the family's 1533-position model. The record is from RNAcentral.
UACGUAGGUGGCAAGCGUUGUCCGGAUUUAUUGGGUUUAAAGGGUGCGUAGGCGGCCUCUUAAGUCAGUUGUGAAAUAUCCCGGCUUAACCGGGAGGGUGCGAUUGAUACUGGGGGGCUUGAGUCGCGACGAGGUCAGCGGAAUUGACGGUGUAGCGGUGAAAUGCAUAGAUAUCGUCAAGAACACCGAUAGCGAAGGCAGCUGACUAGGGGCGUACUGACGCUGAGGCACGAAAGUGCGGGGAUCAAACAGG